AAGGUUGUUAUUGGUCAUCCGUACCUGUUUUACCUGUUUUCCCUAUGAGAUAAACAAGGUAAUUCCCCUUGAAGAUUGACCCUUAUAUAUUUAGCACUUUCGACCAUCGAUCACCAUUGGCUCUGCACUAGCCGAAUCUGUCGACAAGCUACAAAUCCAGAUAAAGUGUGACUGAGUCCAUUGAAAGAGAUUUGAACUGAAAAUUACGACCGCUUCCGAAAAAGCUUCAUUGAGGAAGUAUAUAUUAUCAGAAAAAGUUUUCUAUCAAAAUGGGUGACAGCGAAAAGCAAGGAAAAAAGAAUCUUACGACAAAAGAUGAUGUUGCAAGGAUCCAGAAGGCCCAAAAGGAUCCGGGACAUACCGAGAAAGGCAGCUAUGUGAGCAGAAUGCAAUCUGCAGCUGAUAAGAGGGAGAACGCGGGGUCCGACGACAAGAAAUGACCUUUGCAACCAAGAAAGAAAAAGUCUAGAUUUUAAUUGUUCUACUAAACACUGCUGUCUAAAGUCUGUUAUACCUGUUAUAACUUAGUUAUGAUAAUUUGAUUAGAGUGCUUUUAGUCUCACUGUUGAAUAGUUAGAUAAUUUUUUAUAAAAUAAUUGGGAUACUA
Actinia tenebrosa (Australian red waratah sea anemone) is the source of this 607-nucleotide long non-coding RNA. RefSeq lists it as uncharacterized. Lineage: Eukaryota; Metazoa; Cnidaria; Anthozoa; Actiniaria; Actiniidae. The record is from RefSeq and is a predicted model, not a curated record.